This 72-nucleotide transfer RNA is filed under the name Camelus bactrianus (Bactrian camel). It matches the Rfam family "tRNA". From Rfam's summary of the family: Transfer RNA (tRNA) molecules are approximately 80 nucleotides in length. Their secondary structure includes four short double-helical elements and three loops (D, anti-codon, and T loops). The record is from Rfam by way of RNAcentral. RNAcentral also lists the same sequence under 3 other names. Lineage: Eukaryota; Metazoa; Chordata; Mammalia; Artiodactyla; Camelidae.
AGGGAAAUAGCUCAGUGGUAGAGUGCAUGCUUAGCAUACAUGAGGUCCUGGGUUCAAUCUCCAGUACCUCCA